This is an RNA transcript of Belonocnema kinseyi, 3247 nucleotides long. It is a transcript of the gene named ribosome-releasing factor 2, mitochondrial, with no coding region annotated. The record is from RefSeq and is a predicted model, not a curated record. The transcript is spliced from 9 exons. NCBI's taxonomy places the organism in Eukaryota, Metazoa, Arthropoda, Insecta, Hymenoptera, Cynipidae.
CAGAUAUGGGUGUCUGAGUAUUAGACUAUAGAUAUUAGGGCAACAUUGGGCAGGCUUACACCAAAAAAUUAAUGAAUAAUAUCGGUCUAAUUGAAAAGAAUGUUAAAACUUAUUUUAUUGAAAAGAAUUUCCUGCAAAUGGAGUAAACGAAAAUUCCAUUGGACGUCGAGUGUGGCAAAAUCGACGAACGAAAAAUAUGAGAUUGGAAGAAUACGAAACAUUGGAAUAUUUGCUCACAUUGAUGCCGGGAAAACGACAACCACAGAAAGAAUGUUAUUCUAUUCAGGAACCAUAUCAAGUAUGGGUGAAGUGCAUCAUGGCAAUACGGUAACAGACUACAUGGAACAAGAAAGAGAACGAGGUAUAACCAUCACAUCUGCGGCUGUUACUUUUUCAUGGAAAAAUUACAAGUUUAAUCUGAUCGACACCCCUGGUCAUAUCGACUUCACAAAUGAAGUCGAGCAGACACUUGGAAUACUGGACGGAGCGAUAGUGGUUCUUGACGGUUCGGCUGGAGUCGAAGCACAGACUAUGACUGUAUGGAAUCAGGCCAAUCGGUAUAAUAUACCCAGGAUAGUUUAUAUUAAUAAAAUGGACAGAAAAGAUGCAGACUUUGAAAAAAGCUUGCAAUCUAUUGAAUCUAAGCUAGAUACUCAUCCCCUGCCAAUACAAUUACCUUUGAAAGAUGAUAAAUCAUUAAUUGGCCUCGUGAAUGUUAUCACACUCGAGAAGAUACUAUUCAACAAAAAUAGCCAAGGAACAAAAAUUGAAAAGUCGAAGUUGACACAACAAGAAGAAAAUCUGUAUAUGCUGGCAAAAGAAAAGCGGACAACAUUAACGGACAAGCUUUCAGGCUUGGAUGACGAAUUGGCUAAUGUUGUUAUACAGCGAAAUUCACUGGAAGAAGUUUCUGAUCAGAAUUUAGUAGAUUCUCUUCGCAGAGUCACUAUCAGUAGAAAAGCAGUGCCGGUUUUACUUGGCAGUUCAUAUAAGAAUGUAGGAGUACAACCCCUAAUGGAUGGAAUAGCUUUAUAUCUCCCUUCACCCGGCAUAAGCCCAUGCGCAACACAGUAUAGUUGCUUUGAGGAUUCUCUCUGUGCAAAAGCAUUUAAAAUUAUUCAUGAUAAGCAAAGGGGACCAAUGACCUUUGUUAGGGUAUUCACCGGCAAAAUGAAAAAAAGUCAAAAGCUUUACAAUAUCCAGCAAGGGAAAAGCGAACAGAGUAGCCGCAUAUAUGCUGCUUAUGCAGAUGAGUAUGUGGAAGUACAAGAAAUGGAUUGCGGAAAUAUCACCGCCAUAACUGGACUAAAAUGUACAGCUCCUGGAGACUUAGUAACAUGCAGUUCUUCAUCUGCAAAUCGAGCUAAAACGAAAAUGCGAAAAAAUAAGAACGUAAAGCCUGAAGAAGUAGACAAUUUUUUCUCUAGAGGUGCAAGAGUGCCAGAUCCAGUUUUCUUCUGUUCUAUAGAGCCACCUUCUUUAUCGUACCAAGUGGCAUUAGAUAAUGCACUUCAGGAAUUACAGCGACAAGAUCCUAGUCUCAGGGUAGCACAGGAUGAUGAGACAGGACAGAUUGUGUUAGGAGGAAUGGGUGAGCUACAUAUAGAAAUCAUUAAGGAAAUUAUUAAAAAAGACUAUAAAGUAGACGUUCAACUAGGAAAAAUGCGAAUCGCUUACAAGGAGACUAUAGAUAAGUUGCUGAAGGACACAUACGUGCUCGAUCACAAGAUCGGUACGAGUAAACACACAGUAAAAAUUACACUCUCCGUAAUACCUAUUCAUAAAGGACAGGAAAAUUUAAUUUUUGAUCAGGACAAAGAGUGUGCGUCAAACCUUUCAAAAAUACACCCUAGAGUAUUAAGUGCUCUAAAGAACGGAGUUUCUGCUGCUCUUAUGCAUGGUCCUAAACUAGGAUGCCCUGUUAUUGAUGUGGGAAUUAUGUUACAUUGGCUAGAAGUCGGGAAAGGAACAUCGGACACGAUGGUGUGUGCAGCUAUGGCCCAAGGUAUCCGUAAGCUGUUUACCAGUGGUGGCUCCAGUUUAUUAGAACCAAUAAUGAAAGUGGAAAUCGUUGCUACAGAUGAAUCGGCUCCAGCUGUCUUGGCAGAUAUAUCUCGUCGAAGGGCUGCAAUAAAAAACGUUGAUGUUCGUAGAAAAAAUAAGGGGCGCAGUUUAAAAUGGUGGUUUAACUGGAAAGGUAAUUCAUGCCCUAAUUCCAUUGGCAGAAUUGAUCGGAUAUUCAACUGUGUUGAGGAUAAUUACGUCUGGAAAUGGUGCUUUUACGAUGGAAUUUAGUCACUACCAAUCGAUGGACAGUCACGUAGAACAAGAAACCAUUAAAAAAGUUACUGGCUUUUGAAUAAUAGGUGGCGCGUCUAUGUCUUCCUGGUGGACUUUGCAAUUAGUAAAAACAUGAGGACGCUUUGGAGAGACGGAACGGUCAGAUUGCGAGUGAAAUUCUUGGACAAGAGUUGUUGGGUAUCUUUUGGAGAAAGAAGAAUUGAUUAAACAGAUGAUUAAAGAUCAAACCAUUUUUUGUGGGAAAAGCAUAAACUCAGGGGACGUUAUCGCUGUUGGAGUACCAUGGGUUCAAAGAGCCCUUCAUCGACCCUAGGGAGGUCCAGUAUGCGUUGGAGACCGUGCAGAGGGGUGAUUUCACUUUAGAGGGCGUAGCUCUGAACCCCAACAGUCAGCGCAUACUUUGAGAAGUAGUCGAGGGUAUCGUAGUCUCUAGGCCGGAGCCCACGCCAAGACCAACUUCCCUCAUCGAUCAGCUCUGGGAGAAGGCAAACAGUUUACGAGUUCGGCCCCGUUGUAGCCAAUCCAAUAUUGGCAAUGAAGAAGCCAGAGAGGAGUGAGGGCGGUUUACUAUCUACGCCCUAAGGAGAAUGGCGCUCUCAGAUCUGGGGAGCUGCCCUUUUCCCUUGGAGAGGAUGAGGAGACACCAACGGAAGUUGGAGGAGACUUCGCGGGGGCGGUCUACGUCGUCCGAAGCGGACUAGAGGGACCUUCCUUAGCCGGUCCGGGAUGAGCCUUCUUGCUUCGUCCAGGAGGAUCCUUCCCGUUCGGUUCAGGGAAACCCUUCACAACUGAGGCGGAAUGACUUUCCUCGAACUUCCCGGAAACCGUUUACUAAAUUUUUAAAUAAAAUUUUUGUAAUUUAUUAAAUCGUUGUGUUAAGGGUGAUGGUUCAAUCCGACUUUGAAUUUUUUAAAUAGGUACGGCACUGAUUCCAUAUAUUUUUUUU